RNAcentral lists this ribosomal RNA (253 nucleotides) under uncultured bacterium. RNAcentral describes it as "partial 16S ribosomal RNA". It matches the Rfam family "Bacterial small subunit ribosomal RNA", at positions 524 to 776 of the family's 1533-position model. The record is from RNAcentral.
UACGUAGGGACCGAGCGUUGUCCGGAUUCAUUGGGCGUAAAGGGUGCGUAGGCGGCGCGGUAAGUCGGGUGUGAAAUCUCGGGGCUUAACUCCGAAACUGCAUUCGAUACUGCCGUGCUUGAGGACUGGAGAGGAGACUGGAAUUUACGGUGUAGCGGUGAAAUGCGUAGAUAUCGUAAGGAAGACCAGUGGCGAAGGCGGGUCUCUGGACAGUUCCUGACGCUGAGGCACGAAGGCCAGGGGAGCAAACGGG